Long non-coding RNA from Drosophila biarmipes, 694 nucleotides. RefSeq lists it as uncharacterized. The record is from RefSeq and is a predicted model, not a curated record. The transcript has 3 exons. NCBI's taxonomy places the organism in Eukaryota, Metazoa, Arthropoda, Insecta, Diptera, Drosophilidae.
UUUAUAUAUGCACACUCACACAAGCGUUUAAAUACACACGGGACACCCACACAGAGCACAAAUUUUGCGGCUUAAAGUUAAUUCAUUUCACAAGUGUUUACCUAACCUGGCAUUAGAGACGACGGCAUCCAGGGGACCCACCCUCUUUCGCAUUCUAAUGUGCCAUUAACAUAGCCACCUAAAUAAGUAAACAAAACCGGAAGGAAGCGCGUGCAGAUUCAGCGGAGUGCAAACAUUUCAAUUUGGGGAAACUGAUAAGUCCUAUAAACGAAGCCCCGAAACAGAGGGGCGAUAACUCAAACACAUCUUCUGAUUGAAGGCUUAAAGCAUUUUGGCCAGAGUUGCUCCUCCAUCGAGUAUCGAUUACUCUGCGUCUAAUGCACUUCUGCAACUGAAGAACUCGCAGCCCUCGCAUUUUCCUCCUCCCACCUCUUGAGAAUGUAACCGAAACUAUGUUGGCCGGGAAAACUUCGCUCGCGGCAGUCGGAAAAGUGAGAGGCACUAAUGGCUUCAGCUGGGGGAUAUUGAGGAAUUGAGAGGUAUAUAGAAUGGGAAUCUCUGAAAGGAGGUGGGUACAUCAGCAACUAAAAAUGAAGGCAUCAAAUUUGCCUUGAUUCCAUCCAUUGUCGAUGGCAAGACUCUAAAAAUAAUUGUAUAACCUGUACAAGUAAGUGGGUAAUAAUAAAGUGAUCAA